Molecule: long non-coding RNA, 3849 nt
Filed under: Cricetulus griseus (Chinese hamster)
Lineage: Eukaryota; Metazoa; Chordata; Mammalia; Rodentia; Cricetidae
Description: lncRNA (ENSCGRG00000024511.1)
Source: RNAcentral
AUGGCUUGGAAUCCAAGUCGUGGUCGUGGUGGUGGUGGCAACGUGACGGCAAACCGUGAGGAUGAAAUUAGAUUCCGUAGACAACUAGAAGCCCUUAGCUCUGAUGAAGAAUACAGUGAGCAGGAUGAUACACAGAGACCAAGCUUCCGAGGGCCAGUGGCUAUCCGUAGGCAUCAUCGGGGAAUAGGAUUCAGAAGUGGUGGUAGAGGAAGAAACGAUAAUUUUUUCAGACGAAGAUUUCCAGAAAAUCAUCCUUCAUUUCUUCUGAUGAGACAUGACAACAGUGAAGAUCGAUCAGGUUGGAAUGGAAACCAAUCUGAAGAGAGACAACCACAAAUAGAGGGAAAUCAAGUUUCCUUCAGGAGAUUUCAUGACCACUCCCAAUCUCGUGGUCGCCCCAUUAACAGAUCUCAUGGCCGACACUCCAGAUCUCCUAGCCCCUUCAGGAGAGCACCUGUCCACUCAGAUAGACCAUAUCAUGACCACUCAGAUAGACCCCAUCUUGACCACUUUGAUAGACCCAGGGGUGACCACUUAGAUAGACCCCGUCAUGACCACUUGGAUACACCUGAGGAUGAACUCUCAGAUGAACCCCAUCAUGACCAUGCAAAUAGACCAUAUUAUGACCACUCAGAUAGACCCCAUCUUGACCACUUUGAUAGACCCAGGGGUGACCACUUAGAUAGACCCCGUCAUGACCAUGUAGGUAGACCACAUCAUGACCACGCAGAUAGACUCCGUCAUGACCACUUGGAUAGACCUCAAGAUGAACACUUAGAUGGACCCCGUCAUGACCAUGCAAAUAGACCAUAUUAUGACCACUCAGAUAGACCCCGUCAUGACCAUGGAGCUAGACCAUAUCAUGACCAUACAGAUAGACCUCGUCAUGACCACUCAGAUAGAUUCCAUCUUGACCACUUGGAUAGACCCCAAGAUGACCACUUAGAUAGACCCCGUCAUGACCAUGUAGGUAGACCACAUCAUGACCACUUGGAUAGACCUGAGGAUGAACUCUCAGAUGGACCCCGUCAUGACCAUGCAAAUAGACCAUAUUAUGACCACUCAGAUAGACCCCGUCGUGACCACUUGGAUACACCUGAGGAUGAGCUCUCAGAUGAACCCCGUCAUGACCAUGCAAAUAGACCAUAUUAUGACCACUCAGAUAGACCCCGUCGUGACCACUUGGAUACACCUGAGGAUGAGCUCUCAGAUGAACCCCGUCAUGACCAUGCAAAUAGACCAUAUUAUGACCACUCAGAUAGACCCCGUCCAGCCUACUUGGAUAGACCUGAGGAUGAACACUCAGAUGGAUCCCAUCAUGACCAUGCAAAUAGACCAUAUUAUGACCACUCAGAUAGAUCUGAGGAUGAACUCUCAGAUGAGUCCCGUCAUGACCAUGCAAAUAGACCAUAUUAUGACCACUCAGAUAGACCCCGUCAUGACCACUUGGAUACACCUGAGGAUGAACUCUCAGAUGAACCCCAUCAUGACCAUGCAAAUAGACCAUAUUAUGACCACUCAGAUAGACCCCGUCAUGACCACUUGGAUACACCUGAGGAUGAACUCUCAGAUGAACCCCAUCAUGACCAUGCAAAUAGACCAUAUUAUGACCACGCAGAUAGACCCCGUCAUGACCAGGCAAUUAGACCAUAUCAUGACCACUCAGGUAGACCCCGUCAUGACCACUUGGAUAGACCUGAGGAUGAACUCUCAGAUAGACCCCGUCAUGACCAUGCAAAUAGACCAUAUUAUGACCACUCAGAUAGACCCCGUCAUGACCACUUGGAUACACCUGAGGAUGAACUCUCAGAUGAACCCCAUCAUGACCAUGCAAAUAGACCAUAUUAUGACCACUCAGAUAGACCCCGUCAUGAUCAGGCAAGUAGACCAUAUCAUGACCACUCAGAUAGACCCCGUCAUGACCAGGCAGGUAGACCAUAUCAUGACCACUCAGAUAGACCCCAUCUUGACCGCUUGGAUAGACUCCAAAAUGACCACUCAGAUAGACCCCGUCAUGACCAUGCAGGUAGACCACAUCAUGAAUACUCAGAUAGACCAUAUCAUGACCACUCAGAUAGACCCCGUCAUGACCAUGCAGGUAGACCACAUCAUGACCACUCAGAUAGACCUUAUCAUGACAAUUUAGAUAGACCACAUCAUGACCACUCAGAUAGACCCCGUCUUGGCCACAUGGGAAGAGCUCGUCUUAGCCGUGCAGGGCUAGCUCGCCGUGGCCAGAGAGGGAGAGAUCAUCUUAAUCACACAGGGCUGGCUCUUCCCAACCAUGCAGAGAGAGCUCAUCUAAGCCACACAGAGCUAGCUCAUAGUGGUCACAGAGGAAGAGCUCGUCGUGGCCAAAGAGGGAGAGCUCGUCCCAACCGUACAGGGCUAGUUCGUAACAGCCAUGCUGGGAGAGCUAAUAAUGACCACUUAGGGAGACUUCAUCCUGGCCAUGUAAGGAGAGCUCAUAACAACCGUACAUGGAGAUCUCGAAGUCUUGAAGAGAGAUAUCGUGGUCAAAGAGAAAGAUUUGGAAGAAUCCAAACAUCACCGGAAUCUGACCCUGAAAUUGACAGAACUUCUACAAUAAGAGAACAGACUGAAUACUUAUUUGAUCAGGAACGGCACAGAAAUGAGCUAAUUAAUCUGAAUGGAGGGCUGAUAGAAGAAGGCUACAGCUCUGAUCAAAGUGACGAAAGUUCUGACAGGUUCAGUUACAUGGUUCAGACUGUUCACCGAUCAGAUCAUUUAUUCCCUGACGAGUGUGUGUUUGGCAGGGUCCCAAGGCCUGUGAGGCUGGAGCGUGAGGAGGCUGCAGGAGAGGCUACUGUGUUUCCUGAGCACAUGCAGCUCCCACAUUUAACCCUCGGAAUUGGAUAGUCCCUUGCAGAGUACACUGAACUUGGAAGAUUUCCCCCCAUACACUCUGCAUCCGUCAAAACGCUCCAAGGCUUUUCUUUAUGGUCCCAGUCCGGUUGAACUUUGACUAGUUUCUACACAGACAUAGUCCACUUUAAGCACUUAAACAGAAGACUGUCAUGAAAUAUGUUUUCAUCUUAUACCUAACUAGGAGACAAGCGCCAAAUACAAAGAGUUUUCAAUGUUUUUCCCUAGUAGACACAAACCUCUACUUCCUAGACAGAUGUACAGUUUAAUAAACUAAUGCUAGGGUUUAUGGAAGGCCUGGGUAAAAAGCUAGAAUUAACAGAAAUUAAUGGUUUUGCUGUUUUGAAGAAAACCUGAAUAGCAAAGAGGCUAAUUCUUCAAAAUACCCAAAUGAACUAGAAAAUAGAUUAAAGCUUUGGAGCUGGAAAUGUAGCUCCAAUGGCAGAGUGUUUGGAGCUGGGACCGUAGCUCCAAUGGCAGAGUGUUUGUAUUUCAUGAGCACCGCUCUGGGUUUGAUCCCCAAUAUUACAUAAAGUAAGCACGGUUGUGCACACGUCUAUUCCACACUUGUAUUCCCAACACUCAACAUGUCAGAGGAUCAGAAGUUAAAGGUCAUUCUUGGCUACAUAGCCAGUCGCAGGCCAGCAUGGGCUACAUAUGACCCUAUCUCCAAACAAAUAAAGUGAUUGGCUUUGGAGACAGCACUAUGAAGAUAGUGGAAAUUUACGUGCUCUGGUAUGGUUUAGAAAAGUAAAUCCUGGAAACCCACAGGAACAGUUGGCCUGAACAAGGGAGAGCACAUCGACCCCAGAUGCUGUCUGGGAGGCCAGUACAAGACUGAUCCAGCCCCCUGAACAUGGAUGUCAAUAAGGAGGCCUCUGCACUCCAGGGAGCCUCUGGUAGUGGAUUAGUAUUUUUCCCUGGUGUAAGAAGGGACUUUGAGAGCCCAUCCCAUGUGAAGGG